Molecule: ribosomal RNA, 382 nt
Filed under: uncultured eukaryote
Lineage: Eukaryota
Description: partial 18S ribosomal RNA
Rfam family: Eukaryotic small subunit ribosomal RNA
Source: RNAcentral
UGUAAGCGUAUACCAAAGUUGUUGCAGUUAAAACGCUCGUAGUCGGAAUUUGGCAGUUCCGGAUGUGUGCACGUCGUGUGCGCACUUCGCGGGGAUUGCUUUUGUGGUCUUGCGUAGGAUGAGGCACUUUUAUUAGUGAACGUCCUCACGCAACCACUUUUUACUGUGAGAAAAUCAGAGUGCUCAAAGCAGGCAUUUGCCGUGAAUGUAUUAGCAUGGAAUAAUAGAAUAGGACUUGGUUCUAUUUUGUUGGUUUGUUGGGACUGAGUAAUGAUUAAGAGGGACAGUUGGGGGCAUUUGUAUUUCGGUGCUAGAGGUGAAAUUCUUAGAUUACCGAAAGACAAACUGCUGCGAAAGCGUCUGCCAAGGAUGUUUUCACUGA